RNAcentral lists this ribosomal RNA (460 nucleotides) under uncultured bacterium. Its description in RNAcentral is "partial 16S ribosomal RNA". It matches the Rfam family "Bacterial small subunit ribosomal RNA", at positions 338 to 795 of the family's 1533-position model. The record is from RNAcentral.
CCUACGGGAGGCAGCAGUGAGGAAUAUUGGUCAAUGGGCGCGAGCCUGAACCAGCCAAGUAGCGUGAAGGAUGACUGCCCUACGGGUUGUAAACUUCUUUUAUAAAGGAAUAAAGUGAGGCACGUGAGCCUUUUUGAAUGUACUUUAUGAAUAAGGAUCGGCUAACUCCGUGCCAGCAGCCGCGGUAAUACGGAGGAUCCGAGCGGUAUCCGGAUUUAUUGGGUUUAACGGGAGCGUAGAUGGGUUGUUAAGUCAGUUGUGAAAGUAUGUGGCUCAACCGUAAAAUUGCAAUUGAUACUGGCAGUCUUGAGUACAGGUGAGGACAGCGGAAUUCGUGGUGUAGCGGUGAAAUGCUUAGAUAUCACGAAGAACUCCAAUUGCGAAGGCAGCUUACUAAACUGCCACUGACAUUGAGGCUCGAAAGUGUGGGUAGCAAACAGGAUUAGAUACCCGAGUAGUC